RNAcentral lists this ribosomal RNA (253 nucleotides) under uncultured bacterium. RNAcentral describes it as "partial 16S ribosomal RNA". It matches the Rfam family "Bacterial small subunit ribosomal RNA", at positions 524 to 776 of the family's 1533-position model. The record is from RNAcentral.
UACGGAGGGGGCCAGCGUUGUUCGGAAUUAUUGGGCGUAAAGGGCGCGUAGGCGGCCUGCUAAGUCGGACGUGAAAUCCCUCGGCUCAACCGAGGAACUGCGUCCGAUACUGGUGGGCUUGAAUCCGGGAGAGGGAUGUGGAAUUCCAGGUGUAGCGGUGAAAUGCGUAGAUAUCUGGAGGAACACCGGUGGCGAAGGCGGCAUCCUGGACCAACACUGACACUGAGGAGCGAAAGCCAGGGGAGCAAACGGG